CCGUCGUGAAGAGGGAAACAACCCAGACCGCCAGCUAAGGUCCCAAAGUCAUGGUUAAGUGGGAAACGAUGUGGGAAGGCCCAGACAGCCAGGAUGUUGGCUUAGAAGCAGCCAUCAUUUAAAGAAAGCGUAAUAGCUCACUGGUCGAGUCGGCCUGCGCGGAAGAUGUAACGGGGCUAAACCAUGCACCGAAGCUGCGGCAGCGAACGUAUCACUUAAAACGAUUCAGAAGCUUACGAUUGACGGAGCGAAGCGACGUCAAAGCGUAUACAAAGUCGAGUCGGUUUAAGGAUACGUUCGUUGGGUAGGGGAGCGUUCUGUAAGCCUGCGAAGGUGGCCUGUGAGGGUUGCUGGAGGUAUCAGAAGUGCGAAUGCUGACAUAAGUAACGAUAAAGCGGGUGAAAAGCCCGCUCGCCGGAAGACCAAGGGUUCCUGUCCAACGUUAAUCGGGGCAGGGUGAGUCGACCCCUAAGGCGAGGCCGAAAGGCGUAGUCGAUGGGAAACGGGUUAAUAUUCCCGUACUUGGUGUUACUGCGAAGGGGGGACGGAGAAGGCUAUGUUGGCCGGGCGACGGU
RNAcentral lists this ribosomal RNA (575 nucleotides) under Salmonella enterica. RNAcentral's name for it is "partial 23S ribosomal RNA". It matches the Rfam family "Bacterial large subunit ribosomal RNA", at positions 1005 to 1502 of the family's 2925-position model. Lineage: Bacteria; Pseudomonadati; Pseudomonadota; Gammaproteobacteria; Enterobacterales; Enterobacteriaceae. The record is from RNAcentral.